RNAcentral lists this ribosomal RNA (466 nucleotides) under uncultured bacterium. Its description in RNAcentral is "bacterial SSU rRNA". It matches the Rfam family "Bacterial small subunit ribosomal RNA", at positions 329 to 792 of the family's 1533-position model. The record is from RNAcentral.
UGCCAGACUCCUACGGGAGGCAGCAGUGAGGAAUAUUGGUCAAUGGGCGCGAGCCUGAACCAGCCAAGUCGCGUGAGGGAUGACGGCCCUACGGGUUGUAAACCUCUUUUGCCGGGGAGCAACGGGCGCCACGUGUGGCGCCACUGAGAGUACCCGGAGAAAAAGCAUCGGCUAACUCCGUGCCAGCAGCCGCGGUAAUACGGAGGAUGCGAGCGUUAUCCGGAUUUAUUGGGUUUAAAGGGUGCGUAGGCGCAUCGUAAAGACAGGGGACAAGUGGAGGGGCCCACCCCCUCCCCGCCAUUGAAACUGGCGCUCUUGAGUGGAAGAGAAGUAUGCGGAAUGCGUGGUGUAGCGGUGAAAUGCAUAGAUAUCACGCAGAACCCCGAUUGCGAAGGCAGCAUGCCGGCCUCCGACUGACGCUGAAGCACGAAAGCGUGGGGAUCGAACAGGAUUAGAUACCCCAGUA